GGGGAUUGGUGAGGUGGAAUGGGGUGAAGUGGGUGGUUUGGGGUCGGGUUUGAUCUCAGCGACCAAUUGCCACGGUCAGGAGUCACGCGACCGCGGCAAACAGGUGCUUGGCCACGGUCAGAAUCACGCGACCGCGGUCGAAGAGGCGUUUCCCGCGGUCAGAACGUCUGCGACCGCGGGGGCUUAUUUCGCGGCCUCUUCAUGCUUCUUCUUGGUUUCUGCUGGGCCGAGCAGUCAGG
This 239-nucleotide long non-coding RNA is filed under the name Eutrema salsugineum. RNAcentral's name for it is "long non-coding RNA (ESAL_LNC000954)". The record is from RNAcentral. Lineage: Eukaryota; Viridiplantae; Streptophyta; Magnoliopsida; Brassicales; Brassicaceae.